RNAcentral lists this small nucleolar RNA (133 nucleotides) under Dasypus novemcinctus (nine-banded armadillo). RNAcentral describes it as "Small nucleolar RNA SNORA31 (ENSDNOG00000046993.1)". The record is from RNAcentral. Lineage: Eukaryota; Metazoa; Chordata; Mammalia; Cingulata; Dasypodidae.
AUGCAUCUCUGUCAGAGCUGGAGCAGUUAAUGUCUGCUGCUAAGGUUUCCACUGCAGAUUCAAGAAAAACAAUGUCCUUGUGUUUUCUGUCUGUCUGAUUGUGGUAGCCAAGAUUGAAAAGCAGAGUAUAUAA